UACAGAGGUCCCAAGCGUUGUUCGGAUUCACUGGGCGUAAAGGGUGCGUAGGCGGUCGGGUAAGUCUGAUGUGAAAUCUCACAGCUUAACUGUGAAACUGCAUUGGAUACUAUCCGGCUCGAGGAAUGGAGGGGAGACUGGAAUACUUGGUGUAGCAGUGAAAUGCGUAGAGAUCGGAAAGAACACCAACGGCGAAAGCACUCUGCUGGGCCGACACUGACACUGAGAGACGAAAGCUAGGGGAGCGAAUGGG
This 253-nucleotide ribosomal RNA is filed under the name uncultured bacterium. RNAcentral's name for it is "partial 16S ribosomal RNA". It matches the Rfam family "Bacterial small subunit ribosomal RNA", at positions 524 to 776 of the family's 1533-position model. The record is from RNAcentral.